CAGAAUAUCUCGCCGUCUUCUUUAUUUGGCAAACUCUCUAGAAGGAUCAAAUGCAAACACUGUUGAGAUUAUAAUCCAUAUAAAUCUGACUUCCUUGUCAACGUUCAAAUUUCAUCUUUCUUCUAUUCAAAUUCCCGCACCAGCUCAGAGCACAUUUUCUUUUUUCUUUGUUUUCAAGGAAAGGGAAAGAAGAGCAAUCAGGGAGAUUAUGCUUUGUCACUUUGUUACGUCAUCAUGAAAGUCUCACGUUUGCCACGAUGUAUUUUGGUAGAAGAUUGUGAGAGGGCCGUCAUCCAAUACUACUCAACCAUUUAUAUAUGGUAGGCAAGUUUCGUUACUAUGACCCUACCAAGUUGCCAGAGCUCCCGUCACGGAUAAGACAAGAUUCAUGCGCCAUCAUCGCUAGGGGGUUAUCCUUGUGUCAUCGCGUUCGUGAAAUAUCAGCUUGUGCCAAUAGGCCACAAUCACUGGUGAUCAGCGAUCCCCCAUAGUUUUGCAUUAGCAUUAUCAUUAGGGUCAUUCAGGAAAAACAAAAUCAUCAAAACAAUCACAUUUUUUAGGCUUGCAAUGGGAAGUACCCUGGUAUGUCUUGUAGAUUUUUGGUUGAAGUUGGGUGAGUAUGUGUAUAAUGUGUAUGUCUGAUUACUCUUGUAAUUGUUUAUUUCACACGACAAAGUAAUUUUUACUGUGGGCUACUUGAUUUUCUCA
Eucalyptus grandis is the source of this 708-nucleotide long non-coding RNA. RefSeq lists it as uncharacterized. The record is from RefSeq and is a predicted model, not a curated record. The transcript is spliced from 2 exons. NCBI's taxonomy places the organism in Eukaryota, Viridiplantae, Streptophyta, Magnoliopsida, Myrtales, Myrtaceae.